ACUAAUUAAAGGACCAGGUGUAUUUAAACCCAUUUGCAAAUACCUUUGUUGUUAUGCUGCAUCUUAGAAGCUGGGUUCCUCCAACAGCACUUUUGGUCCAAGUGAGGGGGCUCCAAAGGGGUGAAGUUCGGUCUUCUGGUGAGCGGUGUAUCCAACUCUUGCAGGAAUGGUUGUAAAAAUUAGUUGCUCAGUUUUAAGUUCUUUUCUGUGAUUGAGGGCAUGAACUAUGCAAAUGUUCAUGGCAUUCAUCCAUGAUGAGCUCAGUAACACUAGCCAGAGGGACACAGGGGCUGUGUGAUGAGUUUAGAAAGAUAUGUGCCUGGGAACAGGCGAAAGCUGCUCAGGGUAUUUGUGUCCCAACAUCCUGGGUCCAUUACCUCCUGCGUUGUGUGAUUCCUCAGAUGCAGUUGCUCCUUAAGGUUUCAGAAAUGGAACAGAAACAACAAUAUCAUUCUGGUGUAUCGCUGCAAAGCUUACAGAUGCGUGUUGAACAAAAGUCUGAACAUGGAGCCAUGGCUGUAUGAGGAAGCUUGGUCUGCUGCAAGAUAGAGAAGAGCAAAUGUUGUGUUUGGCCACAGGAUGGGUUAUCAGUGCAUCACUGGCUUGUUCAAGCUUGUAAACUGAUAUUAUAUGUAAGUUUGUGUGGGUGAAUAAGGAAUAAAAGGAAGCAAACACUUAGGAUGAAGUUGGGU
Molecule: long non-coding RNA, 692 nt
Filed under: Anser brachyrhynchus (Pink-footed goose)
Lineage: Eukaryota; Metazoa; Chordata; Aves; Anseriformes; Anatidae
Description: lncRNA (ENSABRG00000010787.1)
Source: RNAcentral